AUAAACAUAACAAAAAAAGUUAAAAGAAAUAAAAUACUAAAAGAAAAUAAAAUGCUAAAAGAAAAAUAAAAUACUAGAAAAAAUGCUACACAUGAGUAUUGAACCCACCCCACUCAAGACUAUGAUACUACCCUUCUCCACCAGACCACUCAUGGUUAUCUAUUAUUUUGAUGCUACUUUAAAUAUAUAAACCAAAAUAGAUUAAACAUUAGAAUAAAAACUAAAAUAAAAAAAAGUCUGUUGGACUACCAGUAGUUAAACCCAGCCACUUGGCUGUUGGGUUUUUCAAUGGGGAAUAAGUUGAAAACAUAAAAACAAUUAUUAACUAAACCUAGGAAUUCUAAGCAAAACCUUUAAUGUUUUAAAAAACCUAUUCUGUUUAAAAUAAAAUAAAAAAGAAAGAAAAUAAGGAAAACGAAACAAUAGACACUUCCGUCUCUCUCUCACACUGCGUCUCUCACCAUCUCAUAAACUCUCUCAAGCUCAAAGAAAUCGCUCCCUCAAUCCCCAAUCUCACUCAAACGCGACCUCACGAUUACUCUCAAAGUCUCUCUCUCAACUUUCGCCGUUACCAAACGGCGUUCCUCUCAAACACUCAUCUCUCUCAAUCGCUCUCAA
This 618-nucleotide long non-coding RNA is filed under the name Lathyrus oleraceus (garden pea). RNAcentral's name for it is "Pisum sativum (pea) long non-coding RNA (PSAT_LNC009826)". Lineage: Eukaryota; Viridiplantae; Streptophyta; Magnoliopsida; Fabales; Fabaceae. The record is from RNAcentral.